Molecule: ribosomal RNA, 702 nt
Filed under: uncultured Paracoccus sp.
Lineage: Bacteria; Pseudomonadati; Pseudomonadota; Alphaproteobacteria; Rhodobacterales; Paracoccaceae
Description: bacterial SSU rRNA
Rfam family: Bacterial small subunit ribosomal RNA
Source: RNAcentral
AACGAACGCUGGCGGCAGGCCUAACACAUGCAAGUCGAGCGCGCCCUUCGGGGUGAGCGGCGGACGGGUGAGUAACGCGUGGGAACGUGCCCUUUUCUACGGAAUAGCCUCGGGAAACUGAGAGUAAUACCGUAUACGCCCUUUGGGGGAAAGAUUUAUCGGAAAAGGAUCGGCCCGCGUUGGAUUAGGUAGUUGGUGGGGUAAUGGCCUACCAAGCCGACGAUCCAUAGCUGGUUUGAGAGGAUGAUCAGCCACACUGGGACUGAGACACGGCCCAGACUCCUACGGGAGGCAGCAGUGGGGAAUCUUAGACAAUGGGGGCAACCCUGAUCUAGCCAUGCCGCGUGAGUGAUGAAGGCCUUAGGGUUGUAAAGCUCUUUCAGCUGGGAAGAUAAUGACGGUACCAGCAGAAGAAGCCCCGGCUAACUCCGUGCCAGCAGCCGCGGUAAUACGGAGGGGGCUAGCGUUGUUCGGAAUUACUGGGCGUAAAGCGCACGUAGGCGGACCAGAAAGUUGGGGGUGAAAUCCCGGGGCUCAACCUCGGAACUGCCCUCAAAACUAUUGGUCUGGAGUUCGAGAGAGGUGAGUGGAAUUCCGAGUGUAGGGGUGAAAUUCGUAGAUAUUCGGAGGAACACCAGUGGCGAAGGCGGCUCACUGGCUCGAUACUGACGCUGAGGUGCGAAAGCGUGGGGAGCAAACAGG